This 417-nucleotide long non-coding RNA is filed under the name Pan troglodytes (chimpanzee). RNAcentral describes it as "long non-coding RNA NONPTRT011312". Lineage: Eukaryota; Metazoa; Chordata; Mammalia; Primates; Hominidae. The record is from RNAcentral.
UGUAUUCAUGUCAGGCUGUUUGUUCUAGGAUGUGUACCGUAUGAUAUAAUAAAAAUGUAACUUUAUUUUUGUCUCCUACUUUUAGGUAGGUUCUCUAGAAGAGAGUCUUGAGUUGGAACUCUCGUGUAAGUGAUGUACUGAAAGGCUAUUCUUAGGAGAAGGGGAGUGAAGGAAGCAAGACAGGCCAGAGAAAGAAAACAAACAGAAAGAAGGAGCUGCUUUGGUAGAGAGGGACUGAUGACGCUAUAUAUGCUGAACGCUUCAGAGAAGUUGAAGAGGAGAAAUUUGCUCACAAAUAGCUUUGGCUGUCAAGUGGUUCUCCAGGCAUGUGUUUCUCACACAAUGUCAAACAGCAAAACCAGCUACCAGGCUGCUCUUAAUCCCAGUGUCUUGCUGAAGGAGGCUCUUGAAUUCCUG